This 518-nucleotide long non-coding RNA is filed under the name Elaeis guineensis (African oil palm). RNAcentral's name for it is "long non-coding RNA (EGUI_LNC056877)". The record is from RNAcentral. Lineage: Eukaryota; Viridiplantae; Streptophyta; Magnoliopsida; Arecales; Arecaceae.
GGUGUUGGGUUCUGGGUAUGACAGAAUGGUAUCAGAGCUUAGGAUAUGAUUAUUAGGGAUUAUGAUAUACGUGAUAGGAUAUGAUGGAAUAAUAUUAGAGCUUAGGUUUAAGAUCACUAAGAUUAUGAAGUGAUAUCAAAACUUUAUGUAAGAUCAAUAGGAUGUGACAGAGUGAUAUCUGAGCUUAGAGCUUAGGUUAUGUUCAUUUGAAGAUAAUGAUACAAGUGAUUAGGAUAUGACAGACAAUAACUAGAGCUCAGAUUUAAGGUCACUAGGGAUUGUCAUAUAAGUGAUAUCAAAAUUUUGGGAUUAUAAUCAAUAGAGUAUGAUAGAUAAUAUCAGAGUUUAAGGUUAUAAUUAUUAAGGAUGUAAUAGAAUGAUAUUAUAGUUUAGGUUAUGAUCAUCAAAAAAUAUGAUUUAAGUGGUAUUUAAGCUUAAGAUUAUAAUUAUUUAAAAUUAUGACUUUAGUGAUAUUUAAACUUAGGUUAUGAUCAUGAGGAACAUGAUAGAUAUAAAAG